CCUACGGGGGGCAGCAGUCGCGAAAACUUUGCAAUACACGAAAGUGUGACAGGGCUAUCCCGAGUGCCGUCCGCUGAGGGUGGCUUUUACUCAGUUUAGCAAGCUGGGAGAAUAAGGAGAGGGCAAGUCUGGUGUCAGCCGCCGCGGUAAUACCAGCUCUCCGAGUGGUGUGGAUGUUUAUUGGGCCUAAAGCAUCCGUAGCUGGCUGAGUUAGUCCCCUGUUAAAUCCAGCAAAUUAAUUGUUGGUGUGCGGGGGAUACUGCUCGGCUAGGGGGCGGGAGAGGCAGACGGUAUUUCCGGGGUAGGGGUGAAAUCCUAUAAUCCCGGGAAGACCACCAGUGGCGAAGGCUGUCUGCUAGAACGCGCCCGACGGUGAGGGAUGAAAGCUGGGGGAGCGAACCGGAUUAGAUACCCCCGUAGUCC
This 423-nucleotide ribosomal RNA is filed under the name uncultured Thermoprotei archaeon. RNAcentral's name for it is "bacterial SSU rRNA". It matches the Rfam family "Archaeal small subunit ribosomal RNA", at positions 322 to 747 of the family's 1478-position model. Lineage: Archaea; Thermoproteati; Thermoproteota; Thermoprotei. The record is from RNAcentral.